This 489-nucleotide ribosomal RNA is filed under the name uncultured bacterium. RNAcentral's name for it is "partial 16S ribosomal RNA". It matches the Rfam family "Bacterial small subunit ribosomal RNA", at positions 28 to 507 of the family's 1533-position model. The record is from RNAcentral.
GAUGAACGCUAGCGGCAGGCUUAAUACAUGCAAGUCGUGGGGCAGCAGGACUGUAGCAUUACAUUUGCUGGCGACCGGCAAACGGGUGCGGAACACGUACGCAACUUACCCUGAACUGGGGGGUAGCCGGGGGAAACCCGAAGCAAUUCCCCGUUAUAUACUGGAGUGGCAUCCCUUUAUUAUUAAAGCCCCGGCGGUUUGGGAGAGGCGUUGGGCUGUUUAGGUAGUUGGUUGAGGUAACGGCACACCAAGCCUACGUCCAGUAACUGGUGUGAGAGUACGACCAGUCACACGGGCACUGAGACACGGACCCGACUGCUACGGGAGGGAGCAGUAUGUUAGAUUAGGCAAGGGAGCCAACUCUAACCCAGCCAUGCCGGUGGGGGGAGGAAGGCCCUCUGGGUUGUAAACUUCUUUUAUAGAGGACGAGACCUGUGUAUUCUUACGGAGUUGACGGUACCCAAGGAAUAAGCACCGGCUAACUUCGUG